GGGUCCAGUGAUACAGCGACCACUGAACUCAUAAGCGGUACAGACAGUGAGCACACCUCCUCCGCUGACGAGUGGAUCCAGCAGGGCCCCAAUCUUCCUCCUCUUUUCCCCCCUCAUCCACCUCCACCUCCUCCUCCUCCUCCUCCACCUCUUCCCAUUUUACCUCCACAGGAGGAUCCAGAAGAUGUAAUGGGAGUAUUAGAUGUAGCAUCUUAAACUCAAGUGUAGCUGCCACUGUUUUGGUAAUGUUCUUUUUCCUCCCUCUCUGCAGUAUUUUGCCGAUGAUGAAGAAGAUUUUUAAUAAAUAUAUAUAUUUUUAAACUUAA
This is a long non-coding RNA of Sinocyclocheilus grahami, 326 nucleotides long. RefSeq lists it as uncharacterized. The transcript has 3 exons. The record is from RefSeq and is a predicted model, not a curated record. NCBI's taxonomy places the organism in Eukaryota, Metazoa, Chordata, Actinopteri, Cypriniformes, Cyprinidae.